This 440-nucleotide ribosomal RNA is filed under the name uncultured bacterium. RNAcentral's name for it is "partial 16S ribosomal RNA". It matches the Rfam family "Bacterial small subunit ribosomal RNA", at positions 338 to 795 of the family's 1533-position model. The record is from RNAcentral.
CCUACGGGUGGCAGCAGUGGGGAAUAUUGCACAAUGGGGGAAACCCUGAUGCAGCGACGCCGCGUGAGUGAAGAAGUAUUUCGGUACGUAAAGCUCUAUCAGCAGGGAAGAAAAUGACGGUACCUGACUAAGAAGCCCCGGCUAACUACGUGCCAGCAGCCGCGGUAAUACGUAGGGGGAAAGCGUUAUCCGGAUUUACUGGGUGUAAAGGGAGCGUCGACGGCAGCGCAAGUCUGGAGUGAACUCCCAUGGCUUAACCAUGUAACUGCUUUGGAAACUGUGCAGCUAGAGUGCAGGAGAGGUAAGCGGAAUUCCUAGUGUAGCGGUGAAAUGCGUAGAUAUUAGGAGGAACACCAGUGGCGAAGGCGGCUUACUGGACUGUAACUGACGUUGAGGCUCGAAAGCGUGGGGAGCAAACAGGAUUAGAUACCCCGGUAGUC